Molecule: long non-coding RNA, 153 nt
Organism: Athene cunicularia (burrowing owl)
Lineage: Eukaryota; Metazoa; Chordata; Aves; Strigiformes; Strigidae
Exons: 3
Source: RefSeq, a predicted model, not a curated record
CCCUGGUCCAGAAGGAGAAGGAUCGGCAGUGCCGGGGGCUGGAGCUCAUCGCCUCUGAGAAUUUCUGCAGCCGGGCAGCACUGGAGGCCCUGGGCUCCUGCCUCAACAACAAGUACUCGGAGGGGUACCCCGGCAAGAGGUACUAUGGGGGGG